Molecule: long non-coding RNA, 1969 nt
Filed under: Setaria italica (foxtail millet)
Lineage: Eukaryota; Viridiplantae; Streptophyta; Magnoliopsida; Poales; Poaceae
Description: long non-coding RNA (SITA_LNC005510)
Source: RNAcentral
GGUUUCAGGAACUUCAAUUGCUGUUCACAGCCAGAUGUUGUCAGUCCUGAACAUCGCGCUCUCUUGUGUUGCAUUCUCUCCAGACGCUCGGCCAAAGAUGCGCAACGUCUUGAGGAUGCUCUUUAAUGCAAAGUGAAUCAGAAGCUGCCUACAAUCAUAUCAUAUAUAAAUUGGGUGGAGAGUUUGAUCUACGGGUAGUUCAUGGAUGUCAGUAAUCUGCAUACAUGAUGUUCUUGUACAUAGAAGAUAGAACCCUAGCUUAUGGUAGAUCAUAUGCUUGAUGAAUUGAGUAAUUAGGUAUCCGUUUGGGAGUAAGUCACAAUAUGGUUUCUAUGCUGUAAAAUUGCAGAGAUGGUUAUAAGCAAAGCUUAAAAGGUCAUGGGUAUGCUCAUAGAAGUAGAUAGUCUAUUGUUUUUUUCUCUGUAUUGUGUAGACUAGUUCACGGAAGGCAAAAUAGCCAUCUUGGUCCUUCAACUUUUCUUCAACUUUUUUCCAAGGGUCAAGUUCAUCCCUUAACUUUUAAAUUGGCCAAUAUAAUCCAUAAACUUUCAUUUUCAAACUCGUCCUUAUGCUAACGUGGUACUCCAUAAUGACGAGACUAUUGCAAAAUGUCAAUUUUGCCCUUGACUUCAUAAUCCCAUCCUUAAUUUUAGCAUGGUUGCUGGUGUGCGGAUGCUCGUCAAUCUACUCUUGCUUGCAUGGAGGAGCUGGGGUGGGAUCGACAUGCUGCUGCUCCUGACUUGAUUGCCGAGAGAAAUUGGAGGAGAGCAGCGGCAGCUGCUGCUUGCUUGCUUGCCGAUUGGGGCUGAGAGAGAGAGAACUACAUGCUUGUGCUUUGUAUUUGCUCCUUGCUUGCUUUCACAGAGAAAGUGAAAGGGGAGUUGUAAUGGUGUGAAGCUCGGAUUGGAGAGGAGGAGCAUGCAGCUCUGCUUGCUCAGCGGUGCUAGAGGCAGAUAAAAGGAGGAGGCAGCUAGUUGUUGAUACUGUGCUCGAGCAACCAGAGGAGAGAGCCAGCUAGUUCUUGUCUUAUAUUCGUUGAUGGUGGAAAUUGAGUAGGCAAAGAAGAACAAGGGCAAAAAGGACAUUUUGCAUUAGUUUAAUGAUAGUAUGGAGUGCUACGUCAGCACAAGAAUGAGUUUGACCCAAAAAUGUUUUGGGACUAAAUUGGCCGAUCUAAGAGUUCAGGGACAAAACUGACCCUCGAUGCAAAGUUGAAGGAUCAAAACGUCUAUUUUGCCUUCUCGAAAAGCUUUGCAUUGGUAGUUCAAGUAAAUAGCUCUAAUUUGCCCUAAGAAAUAGAAAGUAAAUCACGAUCACAGAUCUAAUAGCCUAAUUGAGAUAAGCUUGCGACAUGUAAUCUACAAUUUCUACAUGCAAAUGUUUCUAUGGUUUCCUUGUCAAGAUAAUUUUUCUAUGCUUCAAAUUGCUUAAAUUUAGAACCAUGGGCAUAUCGCAUCAUUUCUUUUGUGCUUUGUAGAAUACUAGACUUUAAAAGAUUAUUUUUCAUAUGAUAAUUUCUAUAUAUCUGUUACAUCAUUUUUUCUAGCAAAAAUCUACCAAAUCUGCUUCCAAAUAAAUUAAAUAUUCUAGAUAAAGAAAUCAAAUGUUAUAGAAAACUGCAUUAUUAUUAUUAUUAUUAUUAAUUCAUUUCACCAUUUUUCUUUCCUAGUAAUAAGGAGAGAUGGGUGAACGGCCUAUCCUGUUAAAAUCCAGCAAAUAGAAGUGAAAGAUUUGCUGAUACAAAUCAUGCGAAUGAUAACCCUUUUUCAUAUUUUCUGCAUCCCUCCAAAUGAAAAACCAAUCACCCAAAUGCAAAUAUAUAUAUCUUUUUAGAGAAAAAUAGCAUAUCCCCCACACAAAAGAAGAAAAAAUAAGCUUGGUUGAAACCUUGGGCUUGUUGUUGGACCUUGUAGCGAUCCCCAAAGCCGGGCUUAGCAUCAGGAGCGACGAGCCCAAACCUUUCCACCCG